Molecule: long non-coding RNA, 788 nt
Organism: Hemicordylus capensis (graceful crag lizard)
Lineage: Eukaryota; Metazoa; Chordata; Lepidosauria; Squamata; Cordylidae
Exons: 3
Source: RefSeq, a predicted model, not a curated record
UGCUGGGGGAAUCUGGGCCAGGCCUGUGGGCAAGUAGCCAUUGACUAAGCUGUAACACCGCCGUGUUACAGCCACCGUAGCUCAGUACCUGUCGCCCUCCUCCAUCCCUCCCAUUGUCUUCCGAAGGGCUGAUUGCCAAGCCUUCAGGCUGCCACAGGAUGGAAUUUCUGCCUCACAGCGACAUCUUGUGAUGAAAGAGAGCAAUGGGCCGAUCCAAAGCAAGGCCUGCAGCUCUUGGAAGUGAUGGGACUGAUGGUAUCCAUGUUGAUGGUAUACGUAUACGUAUACGUACACACACACACACAGAGAUCCCCUCAUAAGCAUUUGGGAAGUGUUGGAGCUUGGAAGGGAGAUGAUCUACCCCAGCUGCAACGGAAGUGCACAGGAACUUUCACAGAUGAUCUCACAAGCUGGUAGAUCAAUUGACAAGCAGAAUGAAGAGAGCUGUCCCUUCAAAACUAUCCUUGAACCAACUUAAGUAGAUCCAAUAAUGGCAAGACAUGAAGCCAAAGGCAAAUCCCAUGCAGACAGAUAAAGAAUGAGAUGUGUGGGAUUCUGAGGGUGAGGACACCACCAAAUGACACGUGGCCAUGCUUGAAUCUUGUCAGCCACAAGAUCUUCCUUCAGCUGAGGAGGAACAACAACUGGGAAAUGAUGCAUGUCUGUACUAUUCUUUUCACUCAGUUCAGUUUUGUAACUUAUUUCUAAGCCUGUUUAUAUAUAGUUGGAAAAUAAAAAAUGUGAAAAAUGUGCAAAUUUCUUUCAGCAACAGUGCAAAUAAUGCGUCU